Molecule: long non-coding RNA, 513 nt
Filed under: Homo sapiens (human)
Lineage: Eukaryota; Metazoa; Chordata; Mammalia; Primates; Hominidae
Description: non-protein coding lnc-PTGIR-3:1
Source: RNAcentral
GCCUGACCCACAAAUGGGACUUAAACACCGGCGCACACAGAUUUAUGCCGUGGGCUGGGCCUGGGAGUUGCAGCUCUUCAGGGUCUUCCGUGGUCAUUGCCCCACCUGCUGGUCACACUGGGAGUGACACUCAGGAGUGGCCCCAGAGCCACCCUCUGGGAAGUGAGGGGAUCCUUGGGAGCCCGAGGAUCCCAGGCGGCCCUGGUUGGGCAUCCCUGAUCUUCAAACCAACACUGAGUCCCGUGCCCUCCCUGUGAGCUCAGGACCAUGCCUUUCUCACCACUGUAGAUCCAAACUUGGCAUGUUUUGGCUGCCUGUGAGACUAAAGCAGUGAAUGCCACCCCUCUCCCCAAAGCAUCAAGAGGCUCACCCACUGCAGGGCCUGCCCCUGCCUUCCUCUCUUCACCCGGCUGGGCUCCAAGCUGCUCGGGGCUCUCACCCAGUCUCGCUGGAUUUCCUUCAGUUCCUUGAUGUCUGGGCUUCUCUUGCCUCAGGGCUUCCAUACAUGUCGUC